UCCGUAGGUGAACCUGCGGAAGGAUCAUUAAUGAAUGUUUUGGAUUGUGCUGGCUUUGCAAGUGCACGUCCUUUAACUCCACACACCUGUGAACCUUUGACCUGAAGCCUUAGGGCGGAAGGUAUUACACAAACUCUUUGUUAUGUAUGUGACUUUGAUGAAGGCUUCAUGCCUGAUUAAUAAACAACUUUCAACAACGGAUCUCUUGGCUCUCGCAUCGAUGAAGAACGCAGCGAAUUGCGAUAAGUAAUGUGAAUUGCAGAAUUCAGUGAAUCAUCGAAUCUUUGAACGCACCUUGCACCCUUUGGUAUUCCGAAGGGUAUGCCCGUUUGAGUGUCAUUGUAAUCUCACAUCCAAGAUUUGUUUCUUGGAAGGUGGACUUGGAGGCUGCUGCUGCAAAGCGGCUCUUCUUAAAUGCAUUAGUGAUGUUGGAUCUCGCAUUACAAACCAGUGUAAUAAGAUUUCGCUGGGUUGGCUUGAUGUAAACGUUGCUUCAAACCGUCCGCAUUGGUGGACUGUCGCACUUUGCGGCAUUUGACAACUUGGACCUCAAAUCGGGGGGUAGGGGGAUUACCCGGCUGGAACUUAAGGCAUAUCAAUAAGGCGGGGAGGGGAAGGUCGGACUGGCCAAGGGGCACACAGGGGGGGGGGAUA
This 654-nucleotide ribosomal RNA is filed under the name uncultured fungus. RNAcentral describes it as "eukaryotic LSU rRNA". The stretch from base 186 to 339 matches the Rfam family "5.8S ribosomal RNA". Lineage: Eukaryota; Fungi. The record is from RNAcentral.